Molecule: long non-coding RNA, 663 nt
Filed under: Cyanistes caeruleus (blue tit)
Lineage: Eukaryota; Metazoa; Chordata; Aves; Passeriformes; Paridae
Description: lncRNA (ENSCCEG00000000421.1)
Source: RNAcentral
GCUUUCUGUGUCCUCAGCGCAGGGAUCGGGCGCACAGGUACCUUCAUCGCCCUGGACUUCCUCCUGAAGAUGGGGAAGGCUGAGGGGAAGGUGGAUGUGUUUCACUGUGUGCAGCAGCUGCGGGAGCAGCGGGUCAGCAUGGUGCAGACCAAGUCCACAGGUUUUCCAGGCUGCCUUCCCCAGAGCAGGGGUCUGGUCUGAGAGGGAGCAUUAAACCUCAGGAAGAUGAUCUUGUCUGGGUUGCUGAAGUUGCUGGCUGUGUCCCAAAGCAGGGCUGCCUGCAAUGAGAAGUGUCUGGCCUCAGGGAUCCGCAGCAGGAAGGAGCAGUACAGCUUCCUGUACGAGGCGCUUCUCGAAGGCUUGCUCUGCGGCAGCACCGGGGUCCCACUGGAGAGCAUCGCCACCCUCGUCCACUCCCUUGGAGAAGCUGAGACCUCAGGCCACAACAGUGUCCUAGAGAAGGAGUUCAAGGUACCACCAGGAGAUGGUGCACUCUGUGCUUUGUGCUGUGAGGGCUCAUCUGUGAUGCCAACCCACUCCCUGCUCCCCUCCCCAGCAGUGGGAUGGAGAUGGGGAUCAUUUCUCUGGAGUGGAUCAAGAAGGUGAGGUGCUGACAGGCAGGACUGACUUGGGUGAAUCAUCUCUACAGGCCCUGCAGAGAUU